CAGAUGACCACUGGUCAUUUCAAGGUCAUUCAUUUGAAGGUCAAGGUCACUGUGACCUUCAAUAUAAAAAAUGUUAAAGUUGUUAUAACUUUGGUAUGCUUGGACCUAGAGUCUUGAAACUUGACAUAAAGGUUGGCCAGAACUAGUAAGUAACCACUGGACAUUUCAAGGUCAUUCAUUUGAAGGUCAAGGUCACUGUGACCUUGAAUGUAAAAAUGUUAAAGUUCUUAUAACUUUGGUAGGUAAAAAUGUUAAAGUUCUUAUUCCAUGUUAUAACUUUGGUAUGCUUGUACCUAGAGUCUUCAAACUUGACAUAAA
Long non-coding RNA from Dreissena polymorpha, 318 nucleotides. RefSeq lists it as uncharacterized. The transcript has 3 exons. Lineage: Eukaryota; Metazoa; Mollusca; Bivalvia; Myida; Dreissenidae. The record is from RefSeq and is a predicted model, not a curated record.